This 626-nucleotide ribosomal RNA is filed under the name uncultured archaeon. RNAcentral describes it as "bacterial SSU rRNA". It matches the Rfam family "Archaeal small subunit ribosomal RNA", at positions 1 to 603 of the family's 1478-position model. The record is from RNAcentral.
GAUUUCCGGUUGAUCCUGCCGGAACCUAUUGCUAUCGGGGUGAGACUAAGCCAUGCAAGUCAGCUCUUCCCAGCCACGUGGGAAGGGCGGCAAACGGCUCCGUAACACGUAGUUAAUCCGCCCUUAGGACGGGCAUAACCCUGGGAAACUGGGGCUAACAUCCGAUAGAUGGAAACGCCUGGAAUGGCCUCCCGUCCAAAGUCCUUGGAAACAUGCUUCCAAGAGCGCCUAAGGAUGAGACUGCGUCCGAUCAGGCUGUUGGUGGGGUAACGGCCCACCAAACCUAUAACCGGUACGGGCCCUGAGAGGGGAAGCCCGGAGAUGGGAACUGAGACAAGGUCCCAAGCCCUACGGGGCGCAGCAGGCGCGAAAACUCCACAAUGCGCGAAAGCGCGAUGGGGUUACCCCGAGUGCCGUCCGAUGAGGAUGGCUUUUCCCCAGUGUAAGGAGCUGGGGGAAUAAAGGGGGGGUAAGACUGGUGUCAGCCGCCGCGGUAAUACCAGCCCCCUGAGUGAUAGGGACGAUUAUUUAGCCUAAAGCGUCCGUAGCCGGCUUAGAAAGUCUUUCGUUAAAUCUAACGGCUCAACCGUUAGGCCGCGGGAGAUACUGCUAGGCUAGAGGGCGGG